Aethalodelphis obliquidens (Pacific white-sided dolphin) is the source of this 1708-nucleotide long non-coding RNA. RefSeq lists it as uncharacterized. NCBI's taxonomy places the organism in Eukaryota, Metazoa, Chordata, Mammalia, Artiodactyla, Delphinidae. The record is from RefSeq and is a predicted model, not a curated record. The transcript is spliced from 3 exons.
AGGAAAGGUAAUACAUGGGCGUUAAAAACCUCUGCUACAACUUACAGAACUAAAGAGCAGCUGAUCAAAAUCUGGACCAGUUAGGAGAAGAGAGUGUUCACAGUCAGCCGGGGGAACUGAGUCAUUCAUUCAUCAGAAAUGCAUGAAUGUCUACCAAGUGUGAUUUUUAUGUUCUGAGGGUGAUAACAACGUGUGUCAGACAUCUCUCUCUUCUGGCAUGUCACACAUUGGUCUGUAAUUGUGACAUUUUUAUCUCCUCGAAAUAGACAGCAUCUCCUGUCUGCAUCUCCUGGCAACAGAAUUCUCCCUCCCUAUGGGAAGCCCUCCUCAGGAGGGCCUCCUCUCACAAGCUGGUACAACCGGAGAACCUCUCCACCAUCAGCUAGCUUCCUCCCUCAUCCACAUACAUUCAUCUAAGGAUGGGUGUGUGACCGAGACAGGUCAAGCAGAAUACUUCUCUGGGGUUAUUAUAUAAAGAAGGACAGAUAAGCAUUCUAUUUCUUGUGGGGAGGGUUUCUCUUCCUAGUAGACAAUGAAGCCAAACUGAAGACACAAACCACAAUAGCAAACCAGCUGGUCCCUGGAGCAGCUGGGAUUCCGGCUGCUCUGCAUUCUGGGAUUUACCCCCAGCAUCCUCUCAAUUUAGGCUAGUAAUUUUACUACCUUAAACUAGUAAAAGUUGAUUUUCUGUCACUCACAGCUCAGAGUCACAGUAUGAGAGGCCAUAUGUAGGAGGUUUUAUUUGGACUUGACAUUGACUAAGGCCAGAGAAAAAUUAAGAAAGAUUUUCUAGGCCAGAGGGUGGCAAACCGUGGCCCAUAGGCCAAAUCCAGCCCGCUGGAUCUGAAUGACUGCUUUUUAUGUGUUUAAAUGAUUACAUUUAAGUGGUUAUAGAAAUAACAUAAUAUUUUCAAUUUUGCCUCUUAGGACUCAAAUUAUAAAAUAUUUACUCUUGGACCAUUUUCAGAAAAGGUUAGACAACCCUAUUACUAGGCAGAAAGAACACCCAGUAAAUUAAAUGUGUAAAUAGAAAGGAAGUACUAUUAGAAAUGUAGUUUUGUGAGGAUUUUUAACUUGCCUGCCUCCUGUGACUUUUUUUUAAACUUCCUGUGGUCAUAGAGAAUAUUUAUAAUAGCAGUAUUGUCUGUUUCCCUCCCCAAAACCCAUUGUCUUCACUGCUCUGUCAUGCUCUGCCCUCAGAGGCUGACAUUUAUGAAUAUAUCACCAGGGCCUCCUUGCCCUGUGGCUUCUUCCUUUUGAGUUAGACGAACACACAGCACUGGCAGAAGAUCAAAAAAGGGAGGAGAGAAAUAUCAGUGCCCCUUCAGGCCUAGGAUAGUAAUGGCUUCACUGCUGUUCCCUUAACCAUACCCACGCCUUGGUACAUAAGGACCCAGGAGAGGAGAGAAAAAUAAUGAGGCAGGAAAAAAAAACAACCCUUGAGAAAAUAAUGGUUGAAAGUUUCCCAGAUUUUAUUUCAAAACCUCAGUCUACAGGUCCAAGAAGCUCAGGAAACCGCAAGAAGGAGAAAUACAAAGAAAAAGCACUUAGACCACUCUAGUCAAAAUGGACAGCAACCACAGAGGAACAGAAAAUCUUCAAAGCAUCUAAAGAAACAUGGCAUUUUUUUGUUGUUUGUUUUGUUUUUGCGGUACGCGGGUCUCUCACUGCUGUGGCCUCUCCCGUUGCGGAGCAUAGGCUCCGGACG